GUGCCAGCAGCCGCGGUAAUNCGGAGGGUGCANGCGUUANUNGGAAUUANUGGGCGUAAAGCGCACGCNGGCGGUUUGUUAANUCAGAUGUGAANUCCCCGGGCUCAACCUGGGAACUGCAUUUGAAACNGGCAAGNNGAGUNNNUAGAGGGGGGUAGAAUUCCAGGUGUAGCGGUGAAAUGCGUAGAGAUCNGGAGGAAUACCGGUGGCGAAGGCGGCCCCCUGGACAAAGACUGACGCUCAGGUGCGAAAGCGUGGGGAGCAAACAGGAUUAGAUACCNUGGUAGUCCACGCUGUAAACGAUGUCGACUUGGAGGUUGUUCCCUUGAGGAGUGGCUUCCGGAGCUAACGCGUUAAGUCGACCGCCUGGGGAGUACGGCCGCAAGGUUAAAACUCAAAUGAAUUGACGGGGGCCCGCACAAGCGGUGGAGCAUGUGGUUUAAUUCGAUGCAACGCGAAGAACCUUACCUACUCUUGACAUCCAGAGAACUUAGCAGAGAUGCUUUGGUGCCUUCGGGAACUCUGAGACAGGUGCUGCAUGGCUGUCGUCAGCUCGUGUUGUGAAAUGUUGGGUUAAGUCCCGCAACGAGCGCAACCCUUAUCCUUUGUUGCCAGCGNUUCGGYCGGGAACUCAAAGGAGACUGCCAGUGAUAAACUGGAGGAAGGUGGGGAUGACGUCAAGUCAUCAUGGCCCUUACGAGUAGGGCUACACACGUGCUACAAUGGCAUAUACAAAGAGAAGCGACCUCGCGAGAGCAAGCGGACCUCAUAAAGUAUGUCGUAGUCCGGAUUGGAGUCUGCAACUCGACUCCAUGAAGUCGGAAUCGCUAGUAAUCGUAGAUCAGAAUGCUACGGUGAAUACGUUCCCGGGCCUUGUACACACCGCCCGUCACACCAUGGGAGUGGGUUGCAAAAGAAGUAGGUAGCUUAACCUUCGGGAGGGC
This 944-nucleotide ribosomal RNA is filed under the name Klebsiella planticola. Its description in RNAcentral is "bacterial SSU rRNA". The record is from RNAcentral. Lineage: Bacteria; Pseudomonadati; Pseudomonadota; Gammaproteobacteria; Enterobacterales; Enterobacteriaceae.